This 789-nucleotide ribosomal RNA is filed under the name Pseudanaesthetis langana. RNAcentral describes it as "partial 12S ribosomal RNA". Lineage: Eukaryota; Metazoa; Arthropoda; Insecta; Coleoptera; Cerambycidae. The record is from RNAcentral.
AAUAAUGCAAUUUAAUUUGAUAAAUUUUUAUUGAAUUAUAAUUAUUUAUAAUAAGGCUGAGUUUAUUAGGUGAAAUUAUAAAUUUAAAUUAUUUAUGAUUUAUAUUAAUUAAAAUAAGAAAUUUUUGAAAUAAACUAGGAUUAGAUACCCUAUUAUUAAAAAUGUAAAAUUAUAUAAGAUUAGUAUUAGUUAUGAGCUUGAAAAUUAAAAAAUUUGGCGGUAUUUUAGUCUUUUCAGAGGAAUCUGUUUUAUAAUUGAUGCUCCACGAAUUUAUUUACUUAUCUUAUAAGUUUGUAUAUCGUUGUGGAAAAGUAUUUUUAAAAAAUUUAAUAUUUAUAAUUUAAUUGUUAAAGAAUAUCAGAUCAAGGUAUAGUUUAUAGAUGAGAAAAAAUGGAUUACAAUAAAUUUAUUUUAGGAUUAUUAAUUAAAAAUUAAUAUGAAUUUGGAUUUGAAAGUAAAUUAAUUAAAUUAUCUAAUUGAUUAAGCUCUAAAAUAUACACAUAUUGCCCGUCGCUUUCAUUUAAAGUGAAAUAAGUCGUAACAAAGUAGAUUUACUGGAAAGUGAAUCUAGAAAGAACAGAUUAGAGCUUGUUAAGCAUUUUAUUUACAUUAAAAAGAAAAUUUUAUUUAUUUAAUCUGAUUAUAAAAAUUUAUUUGUAUAAGAAUUAAUUAUUUUUUUUAAAAAAAAAAGUUUAUUUUUAGUAUAUAAUUAGAACAAAAUUUAUUUAUUAUAGAGAAUUAGUAUUGUGAAAGAAAAUUAAUUAAAAAUUAAAAAGAAGAUAAUUUGUU